Molecule: ribosomal RNA, 237 nt
Filed under: uncultured bacterium
Lineage: Bacteria
Description: partial 16S ribosomal RNA
Rfam family: Bacterial small subunit ribosomal RNA
Source: RNAcentral
CGAACGGGUGAGUAACGCGUGAGGAACCUGCCUCAAAGAGGGGGACAACAGUUGGAAACGACUGCUAAUACCGCAUAAGCCCACGGCUCGGCAUCGAGCAGAGGGAAAAGGAGCAAUCCGCUUUGAGAUGGCCUCGCGUCCGAUUAGCUAGUUGGUGAGGUAACGGCCCACCAAGGCGACGAUCGGUAGCCGGGCUGGGAGGUUGAACGGCCACAUUGGGACUGAGACACGGCCCAG